Molecule: ribosomal RNA, 253 nt
Filed under: uncultured bacterium
Lineage: Bacteria
Description: partial 16S ribosomal RNA
Rfam family: Bacterial small subunit ribosomal RNA
Source: RNAcentral
UACAGAGGGUGCAAGCGUUAAUCGGAAUUACUGGGCGUAAAGCGUGCGCAGGCGGUUGUGUAAGUCAGGUGUGAAAUCUCCGGGCUUAACCCGGAAAGGUCAACUGAUACUGCGGGGCUAGAGUGCAGAAGGGGCAACUGGAAUUCUCGGUGUAGCGGUGAAAUGCGUAGAUAUCGAGAGGAACACCUGCGGCGAAGGCGGGUUGCUGGGCUGACACUGACGCUGAACUGCGAAAGCUAGGGGAGCGAACGGG